RNAcentral lists this ribosomal RNA (229 nucleotides) under uncultured bacterium. RNAcentral's name for it is "partial 16S ribosomal RNA". It matches the Rfam family "Bacterial small subunit ribosomal RNA", at positions 568 to 796 of the family's 1533-position model. The record is from RNAcentral.
UGCGCAGGUGGGCUUGUAAGUCAGUGGUGAAAUCUUGCCGCUUAACGGUAAAAUUGCCAUUGAUACUGCAAGUCUUGAGUAUGGUUGAGGUAGGUGGAAUGUGUUGUGUAGCGGUGAAAUGCAUAGAUAUGACACAGAACGCCGAUUGCGAAGGCAACUUACUAAGCCAUUACUGACGCUGAGGCACGAAAGCGUGGGGAGCGAACAGGAUUAGAUACCCUGGUAGUCC